Molecule: ribosomal RNA, 251 nt
Filed under: uncultured Pseudomonas sp.
Lineage: Bacteria; Pseudomonadati; Pseudomonadota; Gammaproteobacteria; Pseudomonadales; Pseudomonadaceae
Description: partial 16S ribosomal RNA
Rfam family: Bacterial small subunit ribosomal RNA
Source: RNAcentral
CAGAGGGUGCAAGCGUUAAUCGGAAUUACUGGGCGUAAAGCGCGCGUAGGUGGUUCGUUAAGUUGGAUGUGAAAUCCCCGGGCUCAACCUGGGAACUGCAUUCAAAACUGACGAGCUAGAGUAUGGUAGAGGGUGGUGGAAUUUCCUGUGUAGCGGUGAAAUGCGUAGAUAUAGGAAGGAACACCAGUGGCGAAGGCGACCACCUGGACUGAUACUGACACUGAGGUGCGAAAGCGUGGGGAGCAAACAGG